This 239-nucleotide ribosomal RNA is filed under the name uncultured microorganism. RNAcentral's name for it is "partial 16S ribosomal RNA". It matches the Rfam family "Bacterial small subunit ribosomal RNA", at positions 346 to 600 of the family's 1533-position model. The record is from RNAcentral.
GCGCAGCAGUCGCGAAUCUUCCCCAAUGGACGAAAGUCUGAGGGAGCGACGCCGCGUGAAUGAAGAAGCCCUUCGGGGUGUAAAAUUCUUUUCUUUAGGAAAAAUUCGUGAUGGUACUAAAGGAAUAAGGGGCCGCCAAACUCGUGCCAGCAGCGGCGGUAAUACGAGUGCCCCGAGCGUUAUCCGGAAUUACUGGGCGUAAAGCGCUAAAAGGCGGUUUGAUAAGUCAGACGUCAAAU